GUGGGCAGCAGGACUGAACAAGCUGUAAAACAAAUGAGCUGAAACUUGCUGCCCUCCCACCCCCAUUCACUGUGCUGCAGGCAGUGGAAAGAAGAGAGAGAUGUAUCACUCCUUGAGGGCUCAGACCUCAGGACUCCCCAAGCAACUGUAACACCCCUUGGGCUCCACAGUUGCUGGCAUCUCUGAGUUUUCAGAAGCCACUGCAGCCUCCUUGUCCAGACACUGGCACCCAAGCAGAAAUGAUUCAAGACAGCACACCCGGACCAGUCAUGGACUGAGCACAGAGUUGGCAGGCACUGGAUCCAGGCCCAUAGCACAAGCUGAGUGCAAUCACUGGGCUGAGUGAGAGGAGUAAGCCUAGCAGAAAACCCAGUGCCAAGCAAAGCCUGAGCAAAGGCACCACUAGCCACAGAGCUUUCCUGCUGGCAAAGGAGCACCAAAAGAAUCCUGUGUCAUUUCUGGGGGUCAUCUGAGAUCUGCAAAAGGCAUGAAUACACCCCUUUACUUGAAGAUGAUGCAGAGACUUCUGCCUUUCAAGAUAGCACAUCUCCCUCUGAAGAUUCAUCUCAACCUUUGCUUGGAGCAUCUGGUGACUGAAGAAGAGGCCAAAUCCAUGAAUAAUCAUUAUACAAUGAGUGGGCAACAUUAUAUGGUGAUGAUUCAACCAGUCCUUCUUCACAGAAACCUAUGACCAUUUACUCAGAAUAUGAAAAUAGAUGCAAUUUAAGUUGGGAAAAGUCAAAGGUGACAUUAAAAAAUAUUUCACAACUAGCUGAAUUUGUGUGCAGCACAUUGUUGCUCCAGCUUAAAAACCUCCUGUGUGGUAAAUGCUUGGCAGCCCUGGGGAAGGCAAUGAACACGGUGAAAUUCAGUGCAGUGUGGUAAGACAAGGAGAGCAUGAAUAAUAUUUGGAGAUCUAGCACACCUUAGUGGAAACAAUUAUUAUUACAACUGCUUUGAAGACAUUUGAAUUUUAAACUCCAUUGUUUGUGAAAUUCUAUUUUGACUAAAUAGAGGGACUUUGUUCAGGCUUUUGUUGUCUUUAGCAUGAUGUGUUUCUUUCCUAAACUCCACACAGAUAAGAAGAUAAAUUUGAUCAUGAAUUUCUAAAAGUAGAAAUCAUAGGUUUUUUAGAAUUAGCAUAAAAUUAUUGUACAACCCUCCAUGGGCUAUCAAAUUGGGAGCAAUCCAAUUUUAUUUGCCAUCAUGGUCACAUAUAAAGUGUCAGAUUAUUCUUGUUAGAUGAUUAUUGUACAUUUAACUUAGAAAAGCUUCUCAGGUCUGCUCCUGAGAUGCUUGAAAGACUUUUGGUUUAAAUAGGUUGCAUAUGUUCUGCUGUUAAUGGCUGACCGUUUUUAUUUCAUAUUACUAAAAUGUAAUCAAGAAAAAGAGAGUAGAAAAUACAUCGCAAAUAUUCAGUCUACUAUCUAGACAAUUUCAAAAGCUUUCAAUUUUAUCUCCUGUUCCAUUAUCUUCAAUUGUAGAGUUUGGAUAGGAAAAGAAUUCAAAAAUAAAUACAAAACAUUCAUUCCAAUACAUGAAGAAAAUUAGCCCUGUUCAUGUACAUUUUCUAAUAUGGAUAUGUUUCUAAAAAUCAGAAUAUAAUAUUUAUGGAGUCAUUAGUAAAAUGCACUUGAUUAUCUAAGAAUCUCAACUGCUUGAUGCUUGAUCAAAAACUAGGUAGAAACUAAAUCAUGCCUAUCAACAAUUAAAUAUUUCUGAAAAGGGGACUUCCAAAAUGGUAGAAUAAGAAGCUCAGCAAAUACUUUCCCUAAAAAGUGACAACAGGGGUGGAGCCAAGAUGGCUGAAUAGGAAUAGCUCCAGUCUAUAGCUCCCAGUGUGAGCGACACAGAAGAUGGGUGAUUUCUGCAUUUCCAACUGAGGUACUGGGUUCAUCUCACUGGGGAGUGUCAGACAGUGGGUGCAGGACAAUGGAAGCAGUGCACUGAGUGUGAGCCAAAGCAGGGCAAGGCAUCACCUCACCCGGGAAGCACAAGGGGUCAGAGAAUUCCCUUUCCUAGUCAAAGAAAGGGGUGACAGAUGGCACCUGGAAAAUCAGGUCACUCCCACCCUAAUACCGCACCUUUCCAAUGGUCUUAGCAAAUGGCACACCAGGAGAUUAUAUCCCACGCAUGGCUUGGAGGGUCCUAUGCCCAUGGAGCCUCACUCAUUGCUAGCACAGCAGGCUGAGAUCAAACUGCAAGGUGGCAGUGAGGCUGGGGGAGGGGAGCCCACCAUUGCUGAGGCUUGAGUAAGUAAACAAAGUGGCUGGAAAGCUCGAACUGGGUGGAGCCCACCGCAGCUCAAGCAGGCCUGCCUGCCUCUGUAGACUCCACCUCUGGGGGCAGGGCAUAGCCAAACAAAAGGCAGCAGAAACCUCUGCAGACCUUAAUGUCCCUGUCUGACAGCUUUGAAGAGAGU
This 2422-nucleotide long non-coding RNA is filed under the name Homo sapiens (human). RNAcentral describes it as "HSALNT0271435". Lineage: Eukaryota; Metazoa; Chordata; Mammalia; Primates; Hominidae. The record is from RNAcentral.